RNAcentral lists this ribosomal RNA (428 nucleotides) under uncultured bacterium. Its description in RNAcentral is "bacterial SSU rRNA". It matches the Rfam family "Bacterial small subunit ribosomal RNA", at positions 28 to 414 of the family's 1533-position model. The record is from RNAcentral.
GAUGAACGCUGGCGGCGUGCCUAAUACAUGCAAGUCGAACGCAUUGUGGUUGAAAUGAUAUGAAGAACUUGUUCAGAUUUGAUUUUCAACAUUGCAAUGAGUGGCGAACGGGUGAGUAACACGUGGGAAACCUACCUCUUAGCAGGGGAUAACAUUUGGAAACAAAUGCUAAUACCGUAUAAUAAUUAAAACCGCAUGGUUUUAGUCUAAAAGAUGGUCUUGCUAUCACUAAGAGAUGGUCCCGCGGUGUAUUAGUUAGUUGGUGAGGUAAUGGCUCACCAAGACAAUGAUACAUAGCCGAGUUGAGAGACUGACCGGCCACAAUGGGACUGAGACACGGCCCAUACUCCUACGGGAGGCAGCAGUAGGAAGCUUCCACCAAUAGGGCGAAAGUACUGAUGGAGCAACGACCGCGUGUGUGAUGAAGG